CCUACGGGUUGCAGCAGGCGCGAAACCUUUACACUGCGGGAAACCGCGACAAGGGGACACCGAGUGCCAGCAUACAAUGCUGGCUGUCCACAUGUGUAAAUAGCAUGUGAUAGCAAGGGCCGGGCAAGACCGGUGCCAGCCGCCGCGGUAACACCGGCGGCCCGAGUGGUAAUCACUAUUAUUGGGUCUAAAGGGUCCGUAGCCGGUUUAAUCAGUCUUCCGGGAAAUCUGACAGCUCAACUGUUAGGCUCCCGGGGGAUACUGUUAGACUUGGGACCGGGAGAGGUAAGAGGUACUACAGGGGUAGGAGUGAAAUCUUGUAAUCCCUGUGGGACCACCAGUGGCGAAGGCGUCUUACCAGAACGGGUCCGACGGUGAGGGACGAAAGCUGGGGGCACGAACCGGAUUAGAUACCCGAGUAGUC
This 424-nucleotide ribosomal RNA is filed under the name uncultured archaeon. RNAcentral describes it as "bacterial SSU rRNA". It matches the Rfam family "Archaeal small subunit ribosomal RNA", at positions 322 to 746 of the family's 1478-position model. The record is from RNAcentral.